UCCCUCCAAAUCCCUUUCCCAUCGGAUCUGAAUACCGAUCUGGUGGUCGAAAAAGGAGGAAAAGUAAAAUUUCGGCUGGUCAGGGCCUCGGCUGGUGCAGUCCUGCUCUGAGAGGGGCCAGUUGGAAAACAUC
Molecule: non-coding RNA, 133 nt
Organism: Cuculus canorus (common cuckoo)
Lineage: Eukaryota; Metazoa; Chordata; Aves; Cuculiformes; Cuculidae
Source: Rfam